This 22-nucleotide non-coding RNA is filed under the name Arabidopsis thaliana (thale cress). The record is from RNAcentral. Lineage: Eukaryota; Viridiplantae; Streptophyta; Magnoliopsida; Brassicales; Brassicaceae.
UUGGAGAAGUAUUCGUGAUCUA